UACGUAGGGGGCUAGCGUUGUCCGGAAUCAUUGGGCGUAAAGCGCGCGUAGGCGGCCCGGUAAGUCCGUUGUAAAAGUCAAAGGCUCAACCUUUGAAAGCCGAUGGAUACUGCCGGGCUAGAAUCCGGAAGAGGCGAGUGGAAUUCCUGGUGUAGCGGUGGAAUGCGCAGAUAUCAGGAGGAACACCAAUAGCGAAGGCAGCUCGCUGGGACGGUAUUGACGCUAAGGCGCGAAAGCGUGGGGAGCAAACAGG
RNAcentral lists this ribosomal RNA (253 nucleotides) under uncultured bacterium. RNAcentral describes it as "partial 16S ribosomal RNA". It matches the Rfam family "Bacterial small subunit ribosomal RNA", at positions 524 to 776 of the family's 1533-position model. The record is from RNAcentral.